This 253-nucleotide ribosomal RNA is filed under the name uncultured bacterium. RNAcentral's name for it is "partial 16S ribosomal RNA". It matches the Rfam family "Bacterial small subunit ribosomal RNA", at positions 524 to 776 of the family's 1533-position model. The record is from RNAcentral.
UACGUAGGUGGCAAGCGUUGUCCGGAUUUAUUGGGCGUAAAGCGAGCGCAGGCGGUCCUUUAAGUCUGAUGUGAAAGCCCACGGCUCAACCGUGGAAGGUCAUUGGAAACUGGGGGACUUGAGUGCAGAAGAGGAAAGUGGAAUUCCAUGUGUAGCGGUGAAAUGCGUAGAUAUAUGGAGGAACACCAGUGGCGAAGGCGACUUUCUGGUCUGUAACUGACGCUGAGGCUCGAAAGCGUGGGGAGCGAACAGG